AUUGAACGCUGGCGGCAUGCUUUACACAUGCAAGUCGAACGGCAGCGCGGGCUUCGGCCUGGCGGCGAGUGGCGAACGGGUGAGUAAUGCAUCGGAACGUGCCAGUAGUGGGGGAUAGCCCGGCGAAAGCCGGAUUAAUACCGCAUACGACCUGAGGGGGAAAGCGGGGGACCGAAAGGCCUCGCGCUAUUGGGGCGGCCGAUGUCGGAUUAGCUAGUUGGUGGGGUAAAGGCUUACCAAGGCGACGAUCCGUAGCUGGUCUGAGAGGACGACCAGCCACACUGGGACUGAGACACGGCCCAGACUCCUACGAGAGGCAGCAGUGGGGAAUUUUGGACAAUGGGGGCAACCCUGAUCCAGCCAUGCCGCGUGCGGGAAGAAGGCCUUCGGGUUGUAAACCGCUUUUGUUCGGGAAGAAAUCCUCUGGGCUAAUACCCCGGGGGGAUGACGGUACCGGAAGAAUAAGCACCGGCUAACUACGUG
Molecule: ribosomal RNA, 483 nt
Filed under: uncultured bacterium
Lineage: Bacteria
Description: partial 16S ribosomal RNA
Rfam family: Bacterial small subunit ribosomal RNA
Source: RNAcentral